CAACAAGCAGACUCCACUCACAUUGCUGCUGCCAGUAUGCGAUGCCGGAGUCCAAUCUCUGGUAUACCCCCAAUGGCGCUCUCCGCAUCCUGUGCCAAAUAGAUCCUCCUGCUUUUCCUUGAAAACCUGUGAAGAUGGAGCACGUUGACAUCACGCCAGAAUGUGACGUGGCUUUGUGCGUCUAUGUGCACCUCCAGGUCCUCCACUGUCCAGCCGCGGCCAUUGCAACACUGACCGACCAACACACACAUUCAAA
Molecule: non-coding RNA, 256 nt
Organism: Pelobates cultripes (western spadefoot toad)
Lineage: Eukaryota; Metazoa; Chordata; Amphibia; Anura; Pelobatidae
Source: the annotation of a GenBank genome assembly